Molecule: long non-coding RNA, 1046 nt
Organism: Brassica oleracea var. oleracea
Lineage: Eukaryota; Viridiplantae; Streptophyta; Magnoliopsida; Brassicales; Brassicaceae
Exons: 5
Source: RefSeq, a predicted model, not a curated record
UGUUCUACGCGUUCGAAAGCUUGAGACGUGAGGAUUCGAUCGCGUCUUUUGAUCUUCCAGGAUGUUGCUUAAGACGAAUCGUCAUGAGGAAUCUCUGGUCGAGUUUCAUUGGCGUCGUUUCGUAUGAGAUUCUUCUCCUCUGUAACCUACGGGUCCAUUGAAGUCUCCCUUAGCAACCAUCUUUACUUCUUCGACCACAACAGGCACGAUCAAUCAUUCAAAGCGUAUUCUCUCUUGGAUAACACCUAUAAAAAAAGUCAGCCUUCUUCCAGGUUCUUGCUUGGCUCAACGGCGGUGAUGGAAGUAUGGUGAAUCGAGAGUGGUUCGGGCAGGACGACGGGUUCGGCUUAAAGCUCUAACGAGGCGAUGCUGAUAAUAGUGACAUCAAAUUAUUUCGGCGACCUACUCUGAAAAUUACCAGUGAACCUUCUGAUGUAUCUACAGGUUAAAAAUGACAUCUCACCUUCGGAAGCGCCCGUCUUGGAAUGAGAAUUUUUGCAUCAACGGUUCUGGUGGUUAUAUAAUACAGGUAUUGUUGAGGGGGCUCAGAGCGAGCAAGAGAAUGGUCUCGGGUUUGUUAAGCUGUGGGUCUUUACAGUGGUUUCAUAGCGAUGUAUGCUACAUAAGCUAGCAGAGAUGUCGAUUGAUACCUAACCUCCUGAGUCAGCAUUUUAUCUCGAAGGAAAAGGUGGAUCUUGGAGUUCAUUGAGAAACAGAUCAAGUUGAAUGGUCACAUGGUGAUUGUUCUUGCUGAAGAACAGGGAAAGAGUUGAUGUGCAAAAGCAUGGAAUCUAACAGACGCCUCUGAUAACAAGCUUCUUAAAGAUGUCACUUCUGGCUACCACAAAGCAUCAAGGAUCAUUUUAAGAAGAUUAGCAUGGUGAUGAAUCUCAAAUACGUAGAUCCUGCGUACAUGAUUCGGACUGUUUCUACCAAUGCAUCAAACACUGUUUACUUUAGGCUUCUUGCUCAGAGCGUUGUUCAUGGUGCAGUGGCAGGUUACACUAGCUACAUCAGUAGUCUUAUCAAUAGAAGACAAACAUACA